This 773-nucleotide ribosomal RNA is filed under the name uncultured Neocallimastigales. RNAcentral's name for it is "partial large subunit ribosomal RNA". It matches the Rfam family "Eukaryotic large subunit ribosomal RNA", at positions 24 to 636 of the family's 3401-position model. The record is from RNAcentral. Lineage: Eukaryota; Fungi; Neocallimastigomycota; Neocallimastigomycetes; Neocallimastigales.
AUCUCUGUAGAGUCUGCAUAUCAAUAAGCGGAGGAAAAGAAACUAACAAGGAUUCCCUUAGUAACGGCGAGUGAAGCGGGUAGAGCUCAAAUUUGAAAUCUUCAAGGUUUUACCUUGACGAAUUGUAGUUUAAAGAAGUGUUUUCUGUUGAAGUUUUGGUAAAAGUUCUUUGGAAUAGGACAUCAUAGAGGGUGAGAAUCCCGUAUUUGACCAUUAUUUUCAGCUGUGUGAUACACUUUCAAAGAGUCGGAUUGUUUGGGAAUGCAGUCCAAAAUGGGUGGUAAAUUUCAUCUAAAGCUAAAUAUUGGCGAGAGACCGAUAGCGAACAAGUACCGUGAGGGAAAGAUGAAAAGAACUUUGAAAAGAGAGUUAAACAGUACGUGAAAUUGUCAAAAGGGAAGCGUUUGACACCAGUGUUGUUUUCUCGAAAAUCAAUUAAAAAGAGUUUGAUUUUGUUGUGUAUUGACCUUAACAGCUUGCAUUUCAAUUUUCUUGCUUUUUUUAAUGCACUUUUCGUUUAACAAGUCAACAUCAGUUUCUUUUGUUGUAAAAAGGUCAUUGGAAGGUGGCUUUCUUUUCGGAGAAAGCGUUUAUAGCCUUUGACUCCUGCAAUCGGAGAGACUGAGGUCUGCAGCGUAGAUCCUUCGGGGUUAGAUACAUUUGUGCUAAGUUAUAGCUUUUUAUAGACGACUUGUUGACUAUGAUUAGUCUUGUAGCUUACUCGCUUAUGCUAUUUUACCUACGCUUAGGAUGUUGAAGAUAUGCGCGACACG